GGUAUUGUGGCUCAGCGGUAGAGCGCUCGCCUAACAUGUGAGGCCCUGGGUUUGAUCCUCAGCACCA
This 67-nucleotide transfer RNA is filed under the name Marmota monax (woodchuck). It matches the Rfam family "tRNA". Rfam says of the family: Transfer RNA (tRNA) molecules are approximately 80 nucleotides in length. Lineage: Eukaryota; Metazoa; Chordata; Mammalia; Rodentia; Sciuridae. The record is from Rfam by way of RNAcentral.